RNAcentral lists this transfer RNA (73 nucleotides) under Clostridiales bacterium. RNAcentral describes it as "tRNA-Val". It matches the Rfam family "tRNA". Rfam says of the family: Transfer RNA (tRNA) molecules are approximately 80 nucleotides in length. Lineage: Bacteria; Bacillati; Bacillota; Clostridia; Eubacteriales. The record is from RNAcentral.
GGGGUCUUAGCUCAGCUGGGAGAGCACCUGCCUUACAAGCAGGGGGUCAUAGGUUCGAGCCCUAUAGGCCCCA